GACGAACGCUGGCGGCGUGCUUAACACAUGCAAGUCGAACGGAGUGGCGAACGGGUGAGUAACACGUGGGUGACCUGCCCUGCACUUCGGGAUAAGCCUGGGAAACUGGGGCUAAUACCGGAUAGUGUGGGAUGGGCCCGCGGCCUAUCAGCUUGUUGGGUGGGUAAUUGCCUACCAAGGCGGCGACGGGUAGCCGGCCUGCGAGGGUGGACGGCCACAUUGGGACUGCGACACUGCCCAGACUCGUACGGGAGGCAGCAGUGGGGAAUAUUGCGCAAUGGGCGGAAGCCUGAUGAAGCGACGCGGCGUGGGGGAUGACGGCCUUCGGGUUGGAAGCUCCUUUAACCAUCGACGCGGUAGAUGGAGAAGAAGCACCGGCUAACUACGUGCCAGCAGCCGCGGUAAUUC
RNAcentral lists this ribosomal RNA (408 nucleotides) under uncultured bacterium. Its description in RNAcentral is "partial 16S ribosomal RNA". It matches the Rfam family "Bacterial small subunit ribosomal RNA", at positions 28 to 526 of the family's 1533-position model. The record is from RNAcentral.